GGGGAAUAUUGCGCAAUGGGGGCAACCCUGACGCAGCAACGCCGCGUGAAGGAUGAAGGUCUUCGGAUUGUAAACUUCUUUGAUUGGGGAAGAAAAUGACGGUACCCAAGGAACAAGCCACGGCUAACUACGUGCCAGCAGCCGCGGUAAUACGUAGGUGGCAAGCGUUGUCCGGAAUUACUGGGUGUAAAGGGCGUGUAGGCGGGAGAGCAAGUCAGAUGUGAAAUCCCAGGGCUUAACUCUGGAGCUGCAUCUGAAACUGUUCUUCUUGAGUGUCGGAGAGGAAAGUGGAAUUCCCAGUGUAGCGGUGAAAUGCGUAGAGAUUGGGAGGAACACCAGUGGCGAAGGCGGCUUUCUGGACGAUAACUGACGCUGAGGCGCGAAAGCGUGGGGAGCAAAC
RNAcentral lists this ribosomal RNA (400 nucleotides) under uncultured bacterium. Its description in RNAcentral is "bacterial SSU rRNA". It matches the Rfam family "Bacterial small subunit ribosomal RNA", at positions 356 to 773 of the family's 1533-position model. The record is from RNAcentral.